Hypanus sabinus (Atlantic stingray) is the source of this 4573-nucleotide long non-coding RNA. RefSeq lists it as uncharacterized. Lineage: Eukaryota; Metazoa; Chordata; Chondrichthyes; Myliobatiformes; Dasyatidae. The transcript has 3 exons. The record is from RefSeq and is a predicted model, not a curated record.
GCUUGCUUCAUAUUGUGAAAUGCUGCCUUGUGUCUUCCCCUGCAUCUUAUCUGCUCUAUAUGAUCAUAUACUACACACUGCUGCAACUUUUCGAUGGUGGAGGGAUUGGAUGCUUGUGGAAGGGUACCAAUCAAGUGGGCUGCCUUGUACUGGAUGGUGUCGAGCUUCUUGAGUGUUGAUGGAGCUGCACUCAUCCAGGCGAGUGAUACCCUAACAGAUCUUCCACGUGAAGCAGUGAUUCACCAGUCUAGUGUACGGCAUUCCACUUCCACUCUGCUGUCUUUUUGAUCUCCUGCUCUGCAACGCGACUUAACCCAACUUGACCAACAUCACCUCAUUUUCAGCCUGGGAACUUUGAAGCCUUUUGAAUCCACCCCUACACCCCACCCACCUCUGCAAAUUAAAAACAGCUUGUUUUCUCACAUUAUUUGAUGAAGGGUUUAUGAUCUAAAGCAUUAACUCUGUUUGUCUUUCUGCAGAUGCUGCUAACCUUCCGAGUGCUUCCAGCAUUUUCCAUCUUUAUUUAAAAAUAUUCAGAACUCUGCAUUUAGUCAGACAUUGCCUUUCAGUCAGAUGAGUUUGCAGAAUGUAGAAGUUCCUCAAAAGGUCCUAUAAACUUGUCAAUUCCUGUGAUAACUCCCCACCCAUUUGUGGUGUGCAGUCUAGUUCUUGCUGGUGAUGCAUGGAGCUGGGUUAUUACUGUGAUUGAGCAACAAAUCAAGUACCCACCCCUCCCCAAAACCAUCAAGGCUCCCUAGGGGAUACAAUUAUGUAAAUGACCUAUCCAUCACCUCUAUCACUCUUGAUGUUCUGCACUAACUUUAGUGUGACUAGGUGAACCUUUUGGUCAGACCAUGUAAAGAUGGCAGAACACACAAAAUGCUGGUGGAACAUAGCAGGCCAGGCAGCACCUAUAGGGAGAAGCACUGUCGACGUUUCAGGACCCUUCAUUAGGUCUCGGCCCGAAACGUCGCCAGCGCUUCUCCCUGUAGACGCUGCCUGGCCUGCUGAGUUCCACCAGCAUUUUGAGUGUGUUGCUUGAAUUUCCAGCAUCUGCAGAUUUCCUCGUGUUUGCUUUGGUAGAUAUUCUUUACUACAGUGCAUCAGAGGAUCAGAAAGGGUUUUAUGACAAUCGGUAUCCUGGUCACCAUUAUUAAAGCUAUGUUCUGUUAUUGAAAUUUUUUACCUGCCGUGGAAGGAUUUGAACUUGCAUCUCUGGAUUGACAGUUACGUUCUAUGAACUAAAAACAGAAAAUUCUGGGACUACUCCAGCAAGUCAGUAAGCAUCUUUGGAUAAAGAAACAAAAUUACUGUUUCAGAUCAUAGAACCUUCACCAGAACAGAUUAUUAGCUGUUAAUUUAACUACCAUACCUAAGUUAUUGAUCAAGUUAUCUAUUUUCCUGAAAAAUAUGAAGAUUUAAAUAUCUUUAUUGUUCAGUUUUGUUUGCACAGAUUAGACACAUCAUGAUUUCCUUUAUAGCUGCAUCCAAAUAUCUAUUCCAAUCCAAUCAUUUGUUUCCCAGCCAAUUUAAAGUGAGAAAAUUUGUCGGUGCUUUGAAGAUGCUCCCUGGUACUUGUAUGUAAAUUUUUUUCCAAAGUGAUGGUAUAAAUGAAUUUUUCUCUCCUUUAUUUUACAAAUCAGUAUGUUCACUUCAAUAACAGAUUUUCAUGACUUUAUAAUUAUUUUCCAGACCAUUUAUCUUCUCAAUUGAUUGUUUUGUUGUCCCAUCCAUUUAAAAUGACUGGAAAGAUAUCGCUUUCAAGUAUUGUUCCUCUUUGAUCUGGAUUAUUUUUGUCGCAUUUUGAGUCUUUGGAUGUGCAGCAGAAUUGGUUAAUGUCAAGGAACAAUAGAACAAUCAAUUAUAAAUGAAAGAAGGUGCACUUCUCAUUAUUCUACAUCUCAAAUAAUAAUUACCUUGUUUCUUCUCGCUAAUCUAUAUCUCAAAAUAUAAUUACUGUUGAUGCUCAUGGUAGCUGUCUUUAAAGAGGAGAGGAGUGCAGAUGUUUUGCUGUAUGAAUUCUGGGAUCCUACUCUACUACAAUUUUCUACAAAGAUACAGCAAUGCAAGUGGAAUGCAGAAGUAGCAGAUCAAAAGCAGCCACAAAACCUCCUGAAACACGGAGGGGAAAUCUCUUCCACCUCCGACCAGCAGGGGAUCUAGAAUCCAUCAGUCCAGCUUUUAAGAAAUAGAUAUCUUCUAGGAAAACUGAAGGAAGAAAAUAAAGAAGAAGAAAGGAAUUGGGGAACCUUUCAAGACUUCAAUAUUUGAAUUUUGGAAGGGCUAAAGCAAGAGGAAAGUAUUCAGUAACUAGCAGGACACUUCGGAGCUUCAGCAUGCAGAGAGAACUUAGCAUGCAAGUCCAUAACUCCCUGAAAGUGGCAACAUGACUGGAUGGUAUGGUAAAGGAGGCACAUGUCAUGCCUGCCUUCAUUGGCUGGCUGGGCUAUUGCACAUACAAGUUGGAAACCCAUGAUGCAGCUGCUAGGCCGUGUUUAGAGUGCUGUACGCAGUUCUGGUUACAUGAAGGACCUGGAGGCUUUGGAAAGGAGGCAGACAAAGUUCUUCAGGGUUUUGCCCUGAAUUAGACGGUGUUGGCUAUAAGGAGAGACUGAAAAAACUUGGAUGUUUUCUCGGGGCUGAAGGAUAAUCUGAUUGAAGUUUAUAAAAUUGUGAGAGGCAGAGAGAGGAUGAAUACUGUCUUUAUACGGGUGGAAAUAUUUAAAACCGGAGAACAUGGGUUUAAAAUGAGAGGAUGGUAGGUUAAAGGAGAUUUGUGCGACAAGAUCUUUCUUUCUCAGGAAAUGGCAGAUGUCUGGAACAGUUGGACAGAGGAGUUGGCAGAAUCAGACAUGAUAACAUAAUUUGAGGUAUUUAGAUUGACAUAGACACAUGGAAGGAUAUGGACCACAUGACAGGAGGCUCAGAUAUGGUAGACUAAAAGCCCCUUUUUGUACACUGCUAUGGUCUAUGUAAGAAGCCACAAAGCAAUUUACAAAGAUACAUUAUAUGUUACCUUAUAACUGCAAUGAAACAUCAAUCCUGAAACAACUAUUUGCUGGCUAGUCAAUUUACUUUUGAAAUGCAAUCAUGUAUGCCUGUGGUAUCUGGUGGGGAAAUGGAUCCAUGUGGAGCAUACCAAGCAAUGGCUGUAAGGAUGGAGGAGUUCAAGAUUGACUUACAAAACUUGGAGACAAAAGCAAAUGUAAGACCAUUAAUGAUGCAGCCAGCCUGUCUUGUGAAGACUGACACCUGCUACCCAAGCCUUUCAGAUGGACAAUUAUUAGGACACUGUAUUUUUUUUACUAGUGUGCAACCCCACAUUACAGGAGAGGUGAGGAGAAGCUUCUGUGAUGUAACUGAAGUGAUUGGUUUUGUACAAACAUACUCCAGUAUGGCAUGGAGGAUGAACUUUUCAGUUAUGUAUUAGAAUGUUCAUGAACUGCUCCAUCCACAAUAUAUGGUGCCCUAUAUUGUAUCUUUUGGUGUACUAACCCAUAAUAACUGCUUGUUGUGAUGGGUAGAAAAAGCAACCUAUCAAUGUUGUAAUUUUCUGUUUAAAUCAUAAUGGAUUUUCAAAAAUUAUCAAUGGUUUAUUGAUAUUAAUUCAACUGAUUCCUUACACACUUAUAUGUCCCAGCCUUUAUUUAACACUAUUAACGAGAUUUAAAAUAUUUAUUAAACAUUGUGCUUUUUCCUUUCUGAGCUGCUGAGUGUGAGAAUUCUUCGAUGUGAUUUGGUGCUUAGCCAGUUUGAUGACAUCGCUGCCAAUGCGCGGCAGGGAUUUCCUUAAACUGACAUCUGGCCAAAAGGUAUCAGGAAAGGAAUAGUUGAUUUUGAGAUCAAUUGGCAAAUACAGUUGAUUUGCCAUAGCCCACAAAACCUGGGCCAUGGCAUUUUGUUUUCAAUAAGAAAGUAUCUCGAGGCACAUCAAAGGAGAAAAUUUGAACUGAAUUUGUUGCUGAGCCAUAUAUAUUGGGCAGGUAACCAAAAUCAUAGCCCAAGAGACAGAUUCCAAAAUUUUUAAUCAAAGGAAAGGUGGGAGUGAGUCUGAGGGACUUAAAGAGGGAUCUGCAGAGAUUACGGACAAAAUAGCUGUGGGAAAAUAAAGGGACGAAUGCUGCACGUUUUGUGUCUGAUUGCUAAAUAGUGAAAAUCAAUUACAAGAAAAUACCGCAAAAGAGUAGUUUGGUGAUCCCAGCAAAUAAAAAGUAGAAAAUCAAUUACCGUGGCACCUAAUCAGCAACUUCUCAUCUUUUAUUGUGGCUGUUUCACAUUCUUAUACCACAGCUUGUUUUAUUAUAAUACUGCCGGUAACAUUAUCUAUCCUGUCUUACAUAAACAUGCUCCUGUGUACCUCACUUUAUGUCAACCUGUCAAUCUCUAGGCCAUGCCACUCUGGGACUUGAGCUUACUGUACAUUGCAACUGCAUGUGCUGGACCAUAACUAAACGUGCUUUGUGUGACUCUUUGUACUGUGUUUUGCACCUUGGCCCCAGACGAAUGAUGUUUCAUUUAGGUGUACACAUGUGUAUGGUUGAAUGACAAUAAACUUGAACUGACCUUGGCUACA